Octopus sinensis (East Asian common octopus) is the source of this 290-nucleotide long non-coding RNA. RefSeq lists it as uncharacterized. The transcript is spliced from 3 exons. Lineage: Eukaryota; Metazoa; Mollusca; Cephalopoda; Octopoda; Octopodidae. The record is from RefSeq and is a predicted model, not a curated record.
AAUGCAGAUGCUGCUGUGUUAAGCUAAAUUUGCAACCAGUGUGGGUUCAGACCGUCAUUUUUUUUCUAUUAUAGCCUUGGACCACUCAAAGCCUUGAGACUAGAGAGACUAGUCAUGGUGUUUCAUGCCUGUAAAUGUCACUGUUAUGCUAGCAGUGUCCAUUUCCAAUCUCUUGUGAAAAUUCGGGGAAAUAAGUGAAGGCUGGUGAAAGGCAGGAUGGCUGUAGAAAAUCCACCUGUAAUUCUGUUCUACCCAUUCCUCAAUGGGAAGGUGGAAGACUGUAAAUCUUG